RNAcentral lists this ribosomal RNA (464 nucleotides) under Vreelandella stevensii. RNAcentral describes it as "partial 16S ribosomal RNA". It matches the Rfam family "Bacterial small subunit ribosomal RNA", at positions 338 to 795 of the family's 1533-position model. Lineage: Bacteria; Pseudomonadati; Pseudomonadota; Gammaproteobacteria; Oceanospirillales; Halomonadaceae. The record is from RNAcentral.
CCUACGGGAGGCUGCAGUGGGGAAUAUUGGACAAUGGGCGAAAGCCUGAUCCAGCCAUGCCGCGUGUGUGAAGAAGGCCUUCGGGUUGUAAAGCACUUUCAGUGGGGAAGAAAGCCUUGGGGCUAAUACCCUCGAGGAAGGACAUCACCCACAGAAGAAGCACCGGCUAACUCCGUGCCAGCAGCCGCGGUAAUACGGAGGGUGCGAGCGUUAAUCGGAAUUACUGGGCGUAAAGCGCGCGUAGGCGGUCUGAUAAGCCGGUUGUGAAAGCCCCGGGCUCAACCUGGGAACGGCAUCCGGAACUGUCAGGCUAGGGUGCAGGAGAGGAAGGUAGACUUCCCGGUGUAGCGGUGAAAUGCGUAGAGCUCGGGAGGAAUACCAGUGGCGAAGGCGGCCUUCUGGACUGACACUGACGCUGAGGUGCGAAAGCGUGGGUAGCAAACAGGAUUAGAUACCCAGUAGUC